UUGGGCGGAGUUAAACCAGGGCUGGAUUGGGACUCAGAGAUCUGAGAUUUUUAUCCUGGCCCUGGCCCUGGCCCUGCCCCUUACAAACUAUGCACCAGGUAUCUCCUCCGUGGGCCUCAGUUUCUCUAUCGUAAAAUGAACCAGUGGUGUAGGACAGUGAUUUCAAACUUCAGUGCACAUUCAAUAAAUAUUUACUAACCUCAUAGGGUGGGGGCCUGCAGGGUUCUAGGAAACGGGGUUUGGCAAUCAAUCAGGCUAGCAAGUUCUCUGUCCUCACGGAAUUUACACUCUAAGGUGGAGAAAGACCAUAAACGAGGUGAUAAACAAGGGCUUGUGUAGUAUCUAUGAAGACAGUAACUACUACAGUGGUAGGUUAGACUCGAGCAGCUCCUUUAGUAUGGAUGAUGAUGAAGGAAAACUUUGAAUACAGAUUCCAAAUGUUUUAGAAUUAAGUAUGCCUGGUACAGGACCUAGAAAGUGUCUAAGAACCUCCCCCCCCACCUUGGGUGCUUACCCAUCAGAUGGCCCUACAAUUCACUGGGAGAAUUCCUGGCCUCUUUGGCUGUGAUCCUGCUUGCUCAAGACAUAACAGCCUGGGAUGUCGGCCAUCUCCAAAGGCAAGGAUCAGAACACAGGACCUCCUGGAUACAGGAGGAGGCUUAUGAGAGACAGAGGAAGCUGCCCCAGGGACCGGGGACUGAGGGACCAAGGGACCAAGGGACCAGAGAGCCCAGAGACCAGCCCAUCUUUGGCUUUGCCGAAUGCCUUUGGACAGCCUCUCUACCUUCCUGGGCUUCCAUUUCUCCAUCCACAAAACGGCCUUUCCCUUGGUCGAGAAAAGAAGUAAGCUGCCCCUUAUCUCAGAUGAGGCUGUGUGACUAAGGAGGUCCAGAGUCAACAUAUAUCAGCAGUGUUUGUUGAUUAAUUGAUCUGUGCCAUCAUCCCUGAGUACUCAGCAUCAUGCAAGGCUCCUGGAGAGAGGUAUGAUCACAUGAGCCCAAGUAUUAACUAGGGCUCCUGCCUUCAGUGAUAAUAGCAAGCAUAAUAGUGAUAAUGGCAGGGUCUGUAGACAGGGUUUUUUUUGUUUGUUUGUUUAGGGUGGCACUUCCCAAGGUAAAGUCUCCAGAAUGUGAAUAGAUAGACCACCAGGAUGGAAUCUGUUGAACCACUGGAUUUAACCAAUGUUAAAUAAAUGUUUUACUGUGGGAUAGCUUGGGACUUUUACCAUUCAUGGUGAAUCUCUCAGAAAGAGAGCAUUUCCCAAACU
Molecule: long non-coding RNA, 1267 nt
Organism: Nyctereutes procyonoides (raccoon dog)
Lineage: Eukaryota; Metazoa; Chordata; Mammalia; Carnivora; Canidae
Exons: 3
Source: RefSeq, a predicted model, not a curated record